RNAcentral lists this long non-coding RNA (1319 nucleotides) under Lotus japonicus. RNAcentral describes it as "long non-coding RNA (LJAP_LNC000948)". The record is from RNAcentral. Lineage: Eukaryota; Viridiplantae; Streptophyta; Magnoliopsida; Fabales; Fabaceae.
GAAAUGAAACUUUAUUCAUAUAAGAAACUCAUAAGUUCAAACCAUAAUCAAAGCUAAGGUUCACUUCACCCAAAGUACAAAGAUAAACUAGCCAAGCAUGGCUAGGGAAUUCAUAAUACAAAUUAAAAGAACAAAAACAUGAAAUAAGAGUAAAAAAAAGCCACCCACAAGCUCCAAGAAACUAAAACUCUAAGUUUUGUUCAUAAAAUUACAAGUUACCUAAAAGAAAUAACACAAACUCUAUUUAUAGAGUUUCCAGCGGCCACCCACGCAUGUGCGUGGAGGCAAACCGUUAAAAUGCAGCAUCAGGUUAGUCCACGUCGCAUGCGUGACCUUCAGGUUUGGUCAACACACAUGUGCGUGGCCUAGUUGCGCACUUGCGUGGCCUUUAGGUUUUUCCUCUUUUCUUCGAGGUGCACAUGCGUGGCUCAUCUGGUUUUUCUUCAAUUUUGUAACUCCCACUUCUCCUAUCGUCAUGGCUCAUUACUUAGCCUUCCAUCAUCAUCAUUAGCCAUCAAAAUCCUAUCAAACCUGAAAAGAAUCUCAAGAACCCAUCAAAACAACAAUGUAACUCAUGAGAACAUGCAUUUAAUCACAAUUAUUUAGCUUUCUUCCAAUCAAUUCAUCAAAUGAAACUCCUAAUAUGCAAUCAACAUUCAUGAAUUCAAAAGACUUCAGCUCAAACCUAACCAUAGAAAUUACAGUCUAACUAAAACUAAUAAAAAGACCAAGUAAAUAGAUUAAAAACACUUAAACUAAUGCAGAUGCAAUUAUGAAUUAAAAAGGGACUCAACUUGACUUAAAACUAAAUAAAGGACUCAAAAAGGAAAAGAAAGAAACUAGAACGACUCAACAAUCAUAGAAUAAACUCGGGUUAUCACCUCUCAAGAAGAUUUAGUUUUUUAUUUAUUUAAUGUGUGCGUGGGUUUAUAUUUUUUUGUUAAUGUGUGUGAGGUAUAUGUGUGUGGUCAAGAGUAUAUGUGUUAGGUUUCUAGUUAAUGUGUGGGAGAUGAAUAUGUUUUUUUUUUCUUGGGUAACAUGAUGAAGAAGAUGAAGAUUGACAGUCAUGAUGAAGUUUGGAGAAUAAGAUAAUAUGAUGACGAAUUGAUGAUUGAUGAACGGAAUUUAUAUGAUGUUUUUAGAAUUUUUUCUUGCUAGUUUUGAGUCUUUUUCUUGUGUCUCAUGUAGUGUUUCAUGCAUUCUCAUGCAUUUUUACUUUUAUAUUUGCAUUUGCAUUAGUUUAGUAAUUUUGUAGUUUUAUAAGGGUCUUUCUUGCAUUUUUAUAAAGUUUAGGUCUUGCAUGUGUUUUCCAUUGAAUU